UAACCUUAGACAAUUAUAGAGAAUGUGAAUUUAUACUAAACCAAGUGCGUGCACCAAGUUGAGUUAAUGUAAACUCGGAUUUGAGUUUGGUUUAGAUAAUGGUUCGGGUACAUGGAUCAUGAUCCAACAACCUAUAUUUUUACAUUAAAGUUUUAUUUUAUGUAAUUGAUCGCUGCAAAAAUAAAAAUUUGGUUAGAAAAAUAAACAAGUCUUUUAGAGAAUAAAACUUUGUAAAAAAUAAUCAAUUCUUGUUAAGAAUUAGUCUUGGUAACAAGAAUUAGUCUUGGUAACCAAGGUAAAAAAUCUCUUUAAUUUUGUGAUUAAUACCAAAAAUUAAUGCAAUAUUUAUCUCCACUAA
This 358-nucleotide long non-coding RNA is filed under the name Brassica napus (rape). Its description in RNAcentral is "long non-coding RNA (BNAP_LNC019484)". The record is from RNAcentral. Lineage: Eukaryota; Viridiplantae; Streptophyta; Magnoliopsida; Brassicales; Brassicaceae.